Molecule: ribosomal RNA, 100 nt
Filed under: Leptoglossus gonagra
Lineage: Eukaryota; Metazoa; Arthropoda; Insecta; Hemiptera; Coreidae
Description: partial small subunit ribosomal RNA
Source: RNAcentral
UAGGUUAAUAAAUUGAUUGAGAUUGAUCCUGUCUUUAUUUUAAGUGAUUAGUUAUUUGAUAAUAUUAAAUAUAAGUUUUUGCGUGUUAAUUUAUUUAUCU